RNAcentral lists this ribosomal RNA (543 nucleotides) under uncultured bacterium. RNAcentral's name for it is "bacterial SSU rRNA". It matches the Rfam family "Bacterial small subunit ribosomal RNA", at positions 449 to 990 of the family's 1533-position model. The record is from RNAcentral.
AGCACUCUAACACAGCCUGCGAAUGACUGUACCUGAAGAAUAAGCACCGGCUAACUACGUGCCAGCAGCCGCGGUAAUACGUAGGGUGCAAGCGUUAAUCGGAAUUACUGGGCGUAAAGCGUGCGCAGGCGGUUAUACAAGACAGGUGUGAAAUCCCCGGGCUUAACCUGGGAAUGGCAUCUGUGACUGUAUAGCUAGAGUGUGUCAGAGGGGGGUAGAAUUCCACGUGUAGCAGUGAAAUGCGUAGAGAUGUGGAGGAAUACCAAUGGCGAAGGCAGCCCCCUGGGAUAACACUGACGCUCAUGCACGAAAGCGUGGGGAGCAAACAGGAUUAGAUACCCUGGUAGUCCACGCCCUAAACGAUGCUGACUAGUUGUUCGGGAAUUACUUCCUGAGUAACGUAGCUAACGCGUGAAGUCAGCCGCCUGGGGAGUACGGUCGCAAGAUUAAAACUCAAAGGAAUUGACGGGGACCCGCACAAGCGGUGGAUGAUGUGGAUUAAUUCGAUGCAACGCGAAAAACCUUACCUACACUUGACAUGCC